UAGGGAAUCUUCGGCAAUGGACGAAAGUCUGACCGAGCAACGCCGCGUGAGUGAAGAAGGUUUUCGGAUCGUAAAACUCUGUUGUUAGAGAAGAACAAGGACGUUAGUAACUGAACGUCCCCUGACGGUAUCUAACCAGAAAGCCACGGCUAACUACGUGCCAGCAGCCGCGGUAAUACGUAGGUGGCAAGCGUUGUCCGGAUUUAUUGGGCGUAAAGCGAGCGCAGGCGGUUUCUUAAGUCUGAUGUGAAAGCCCCCGGCUCAACCGGGGAGGGUCAUUGGAAACUGGGAGACUUGAGUGCAGCAGAGGGGAGUGUAAUUCCAUGUGUAGAGGUGAAAGGCGUCGAUAUAUGGAGGAAAACCAGUGGCGAAGGCGGCUCCCUGGUCUGUACCUGACGCUGAGGCACGAAAGCGUGGGGAGCAAACAGG
RNAcentral lists this ribosomal RNA (429 nucleotides) under Gemmatimonadota bacterium. RNAcentral describes it as "Gemmatimonadetes bacterium partial 16S ribosomal RNA". It matches the Rfam family "Bacterial small subunit ribosomal RNA", at positions 355 to 776 of the family's 1533-position model. Lineage: Bacteria; Pseudomonadati; Gemmatimonadota. The record is from RNAcentral.